GGCGCAAGAAAAUAAUUGCCAUCCAAAUUGUCAAAUUCCCAAACCCAAAAUUCACUGGCCAGAGAAAAAUCUCUUUUCUCCUUCUCCACUAGAAUUUGAGAAGUGGAAAGUCCAUUAUUUCUUUUUGGAGUUCUCAAAUAGAAAACGACUCUCCUGUUCACUCUUACCGUCACUUAUAUAUCAUCACCAGCCUUUUGUUUUUGGCUCUACUUCCUCUCCUCUAUCAUAAACCUCAAGUGGGUUUUUGUUGUUUGGCUAAUUCAUUCCCUCUGAAGCUCGGAAUUUGCGCUAUAACAAAUGGGUUGUUAGCGUUUUGCUUGUUCUUCAAUUGGGUUUGUGACGUUUGUCAGCAAAUUGUUGUCUUGGACUGGUUUUCAUUAUCAUUUUUGUUAGAUCGUCUUUUGUGUCUCUGCAUGUGUGUUUAAGAGGGGAAGGGAGAGAGAGAGAGAGAGACAGAAUUGCAUUAUUGUGUUGUAUUUACCAUACAUACAAGCAUAUGCUGCAGUGUAUUCAAUUGUAUUCUGAUUCAGUGUUUUAGUUGAGACAUAUUUUUAGCAUCUUCAUAAUCUCCUCCACAGGUGUUGUGGGUGAGAUUCUAACUACAUAAAAAAUUGGGUUAAAGUUCAAAUACACCCCUAUGCUUAUUGGGGAAGUUUAAUUUAGUCCAUUUUCAACUUUACUGCAUUUACUAUG
Molecule: unclassified non-coding RNA, 693 nt
Filed under: Hevea brasiliensis (rubber tree)
Lineage: Eukaryota; Viridiplantae; Streptophyta; Magnoliopsida; Malpighiales; Euphorbiaceae
Source: RNAcentral